UAAGUUAUUUCACUGGUUCAAUAAUGGGGUUAGAUCAUUAUGGGGGCGGUGCUCAGGGAAAAGUCCACGAACAAGGUGGGUGAUAUGGUUAGGCUUUGUGUCCCCACUCAAAUCUCAUCUUGAAUUGUAAUCCCCAGGUGUUGAGGGAGGGACCUGGUAGGAGGUGAUUGGAUCAUGGGGGCAGUUCCCCCAUGCCUAGUGGUAGUGACUGAGUGCUCAUGAGAUCUGAUGGUUUUAUAAGUGUUCAGAAGUUCCUCCUUUUUCACUCAUCUCUCUCCUGCUGCCUUGUGAAGAAGGUGCUUGCUUCCCCUUCCACUAUGAUUGUAAGUUGCCUGAGACCUCCUCAGCCAUGAGGAACUGUAAGUCAAUUAAACCUCUUUCCUUUAUAAAUGA
Molecule: long non-coding RNA, 393 nt
Filed under: Pongo abelii (Sumatran orangutan)
Lineage: Eukaryota; Metazoa; Chordata; Mammalia; Primates; Hominidae
Description: lincRNA
Source: RNAcentral